AGCAGCCUUUGGAUGAAGACAUAGAACUCUGAGCUCCUCCUUCGCCAUGCCUGCCUGGAUACUGCCAUGCUCCCACCUUGAUGAUAAUGGAUUCAACUUCUGUCUUAGUUAGGGUUUUACUGUUGUGAACAGACACCAUGACCAAGGCAAGGUUUGCAUGCCCAAAGAUGAUACUCCAUGUUACAUUUGCCAUGUGUGUGCACUCUACAUAAGCACAAGCAGAUGGCUUAAUGAAGGCAAGAAUAUCUCACUAUUUAGCCCAAGUGGCCUGAAUACCUUGCUAUGUAGCCCAAGUUGAUGCUGAACUCAAUAUGGUCCCUGCCUAAGCCUCCUGAGUGCUGGGAGGAUGGUUAUGUAUUACCUUGUCUGGAAACAAUGUAUAUUUAAGGACAGCCAUGAAGAAGGAUGACCUUUAUUCUCUCUACUGAGGACAAGAACAAGACUCUUUGGUGGAAGUUUGUGGAAGAGUAACAAGUGCACUCAGUCCCCACGAUGUGCGAUGGUUACAUCCUGCAUGCUUGCUGCAGAAACAGAAUUGGUAAAUCCUGGAGAACCGACAGCUCUUCAAGGACACAGAGCCCUAAUCUUUCCUGAAAGCCUCUGAGCAGAUAGUUCUCAGCAACAAACACACGGCUUUGUUUUAUGAAGGUUUCUCUUGGAAGACUCGCUAUUUGACAUAUUCAUUAACAUGGAACCCAACAGCCAAUAGUACCCUGACUGUAACUCAUACAUGAGAACAGUUUAUCUAACACUUGUAUUUUUCUCCCUAUAAGAUACGUCACAGCCUCCAUGAGCACAGACACACCAGGGCAUUUUAGCAUUGCACUUAGAAGCCGUGUCAAGUAGCAACACUCUUUAAAAUGCCAAAAUAGACACGAAAUGGAGCAUCAAGUAGCAUGAUGUUUUUCUUGUACCCUUCUUCAUGAAUUGACCUCAAAAGCUCCUGUAAUUUGUGAGUUACAAAUAAAUUUUAACAAGUGAGCUCACUUGCCAGUGGCCAACUGGAUUCCCUUUCUAAGGGAAAGAGUCAAUUGCAUUUUUAAACACAUCCAGUGAUUUUGAAUUUAUAGGUCUUUGCCCUCAGUGAAUAAGAAAAUAAGAAUAACAUUUCACUUGAAAUGAUAAAAUAAAUUCUUGAAAAUAUACUUCAGAGCCAAGGAUUUUCCAACUAUCAGAACACAUCAGAGAGUGAGGGCUACUCACUGGCAUUAAGAUAUAUCGAGAAAAAUUAUAAGAUUUCCAGUAUGGGAGCAUUUUAAUUUUGCAGCUUAGGCCUGGGGGUCAUAGCUUAGUACAAAGCACCUACCUAAGCAUGCAGGAGGUCCUAGGGUUAAUCCUUUGUAAUACACACACACACAAACACACAUACACACACACACACAAACACACAUACACACACACACACACAAACACACAUACACACACACAAACACACAUACACACACACACACAAACACACAUACACACACAUACACACAAACACACAUACACACACACAAACACACAUACACACACACACACAAACACAUACACACACAUACACACAAACACACAUACACACAAACACACAUACACACACACAAACACACAUACACACAAAUACACAUACACACACAUACACACACACAAACACACAUACACACACACACACAUACAUACAUACAUACACACACACACACACACACACACACACACACACACACACACUGUUCCUCAUCAUGGCAAUCCUGAGGACAUCAGCUGUUCCCUUGUUUCAUCAACUCUAAUGCUGUUUGUCUCCUUCCAUUUUGAUCCCUGAUACACAUGGCCACAAAGUGAACUCCCUCAGUAACAGGACUCACCUGACUGUGACAAUUUGUAUAUGCUCUGGCCAGGGAGUGGCACUAUUAGAAGGUGUGGCCCUGUUCAAGUAGGUGUGGCCUCUUUGGAGUAUGCGUAGCACCAUGGGCAAGAGCUUUAAGACCCUCAUCUUGGCUGCGCGGAAGCCAGUAUUCUGCUAGGAACCUUCAGAUGAAGACAUAGAACUCUCUGCUCCUCCUGUGCCAUGCCUGCCUGGAUGCUGUCAUGUUCCUCCCUUGAUGAUAAUGGACUGAACAUCUGAACCUGUAAACCAGCCCCAAUUAAAUGUUGUCCUUAUAAAGGUUGCCUUGGUCAUGGUGUCUAUUCAUAGCAGUAAAACCCUAAGACACUGCCCAUCAGCAAACCUCUUCUUCAUCACCACACAUCCCACUCUCCACUUCUAUUCCAU
RNAcentral lists this long non-coding RNA (2248 nucleotides) under Mus musculus (house mouse). RNAcentral describes it as "predicted gene, 48740". The record is from RNAcentral. Lineage: Eukaryota; Metazoa; Chordata; Mammalia; Rodentia; Muridae.